Molecule: ribosomal RNA, 506 nt
Filed under: uncultured bacterium
Lineage: Bacteria
Description: partial 16S ribosomal RNA
Rfam family: Bacterial small subunit ribosomal RNA
Source: RNAcentral
AGUGAACGCUGGCGGUAGGCCUAACACAUGCAAGUCGAACGGCAGCACAGAGGAGCUUGCUCCUUGGGUGGCGAGUGGCGGACGGGUGAGGAAUACAUCGGAAUCUACUCUGUCGUGGGGGAUAUCGUAGGGAAACUUACGCUAAUACCGCAUACGACCUACGGGUGAAAGCAGGGGAUCUUCGGACCUUGCGCGAUUGAAUGAGCCGAUGUCGGAUUAGCUAGUUGGCGGGGUAAAGGCACACCAAGGCGACGAUCCGUAGCUGGUCUGGGAGGAUGAGAAGCCACACUGGAACUGAGACACGGUCCAGACUCCUACGGGAGGGAGCAGUGGGGAAUAUUGGACAAUGGGCGCAAGCCUGAUCCAGCCAUACCGCGUGGGUGAAGAAGGCCUUCGGGUUGUAAAGCCCUUUUGUUGGGAAAGAAAUCCAUCUGGUUAAUACCCGGGUGGGAUGACGGUACCCAAAGAAUAAGCACCGGCUAACUUCGUGCCAGCCGCCGCAGUAA